RNAcentral lists this ribosomal RNA (448 nucleotides) under uncultured bacterium. RNAcentral's name for it is "bacterial SSU rRNA". It matches the Rfam family "Bacterial small subunit ribosomal RNA", at positions 355 to 796 of the family's 1533-position model. The record is from RNAcentral.
UCGAGAAUUUUUCUCAAUGGGCGAAAGCCUGAAGGAGCGACGCCGCGUGGGGGAUGAAUGGCUUCGGCCCGUAAACCCCUGUCAUUUGCGAACAAACCUUUUCACUUAACACGUGAAAAGCUGAUUGUAGCGAAAGAGGAAGGGACGGCUAACUCUGUGCCAGCAGCCGCGGUAAUACAGAGGUCCCAAGCGUUGUUCGGAUUCACUGGGCGUAAAGGGUGCGUAGGUGGUGAGGUAAGUCUGAUGUGAAAGCUCGGAGCUCAACUCCGAAAUGGCAUUGGAAACUACCUUGCUCGAGGAUUGGAGGGGGGACUGGAAUACUUGGUGUAGCAGUGAAAUGCGUAGAUAUCAAGUGGAACACCAGUGGCGAAGGCGAGUCCCUGGACAAUUCCUGACACUGAGGCACGAAAGCUAGGGGAGCAAACGGGAUUAGAUACCCCCGUAGUCC